UGUUGGUCCUGUGCGACGGGGUGCCGCGAACCAUGUCAGGCGGGGAACCGAGCAGCAUUAAGCGGUUAACACCGUGCGACACAGUACGGCCUGCACAC
Ruminococcus sp. CAG:563 is the source of this 98-nucleotide non-coding RNA. It matches the Rfam family "Bacterial small signal recognition particle RNA". Rfam says of the family: The signal recognition particle (SRP) is a universally conserved ribonucleoprotein involved in the co-translational targeting of proteins to membranes. NCBI's taxonomy places the organism in Bacteria, Bacillati, Bacillota, Clostridia, Eubacteriales, Oscillospiraceae. The record is from Rfam.